AGCCUCGAGGUGUUUCACGUCAAAAUGCAAGUUUGAAGAAGAGCCCUAAGGGGCU
Molecule: transfer RNA, 55 nt
Filed under: Anolis bartschi
Lineage: Eukaryota; Metazoa; Chordata; Lepidosauria; Squamata; Anolidae
Description: tRNA-Cys
Source: RNAcentral